CUGAGGCGUGAUGACGAGGCACUACGGUGCUGAAGCAACAAAUGCCCUGCUUCCAGGAAAAGCCUCUAAGCAUCAGGUAACAUCAAAUCGUACCCCAAACCGACACAGGUGGUCAGGUAGAGAAUACCAAGGCGCUUGAGAGAACUCGGGUGAAGGAACUAGGCAAAAUGGUGCCGUAACUUCGGGAGAAGGCACGCUGACACGUAGGUGAAGUGAUUUACUCACGGAGCUGAAGUCAGUCGAAGAUACCAGCUGGCUGCAACUGUUUAUUAAAAACACAGCACUGUGCAAACACGAAAGUGGACGUAUACGGUGUGACGCCUGCCCGGUGCCGGAAGGUUAAUUGAUGGGGUCAGCGCAAGCGAAGCUCCUGAUCGAAGCCCCGGUAAACGGCGGCCGUAACUAUAACGGUCCUAAGGUAGCGAAAUUCCUUGUCGGGUAAGUUCCGACCUGCACGAAUGGCGUAAUGAUGGCCAGGCUGUCUCCACCCGAGACUCAGUGAAAUUGAACUCGCUGUGAAGAUGCAGUGUACCCGCGGCAAGACGGAAAGACCCCGUGAACCUUUACUAUAGCUUGACACUGAACAUUGAGCCUUGAUGUGUAGGAUAGGUGGGAGGCUUUGAAGUGUGGACGCCAGUCUGCAUGGAGCCGACCUUGAAAUACCACCCUUUAAUGUUUGAUGUUCUAACGUGGACCCGUAAUCCGGGUUGCGGACAGUGUCUGGUGGGUAGUUUGACUGGGGCGGUCUCCUCCUAAAGAGUAACGGAGGAGCACGAAGGUUGGCUAAUCCUGGUCGGACAUCAGGAGGUUAGUGCAAUGGCAUAAGCCAGCUUGACUGCGAGCGUGACGGCGCGAGCAGGUGCGAAAGCAGGUCAUAGUGAUCCGGUGGUUCUGAAUGGAAGGGCCAUCGCUCAACGGAUAAAAGGUACUCCGGGGAUAACAGGCUGAUACCGCCCAAGAGUUCAUAUCGACGGCGGUGUUUGGCACCUCGAUGUCGGCUCAUCACAUCCUGGGGCUGAAGUAGGUCCCAAGGGUAUGGCUGUUCGCCAUUUAAAGUGGUACGCGAGCUGGGUUUAGAACGUCGUGAGACAGUUCGGUCCCUAUCUGCCGUGGGCGCUGGAGAACUGAGGGGGGCUGCUCCUAGUACGAGAGGACCGGAGUGGACGCAUCACUGGUGUUCGGGUUGUCAUGCCAAUGGCACUGCCCGGUAGCUAAAUGCGGAAGAGAUAAGUGCUGAAAGCAUCUAAGCACGAAACUUGCCCCGAGAUGAGUUCUCCCUGAGACUUAGGUCUCCUGAAGGAACGUUGAAGACGACGACGUUGAUAGGCCGGGUGUGUAAGCGCAGCGAUGCGUUGAGCUAACCGGUACUAAUGAACCGUGAGGCUUAACCUUACAACGCCGAAG
RNAcentral lists this ribosomal RNA (1404 nucleotides) under Salmonella enterica subsp. enterica serovar Kentucky str. 13562. Its description in RNAcentral is "bacterial LSU rRNA". It matches the Rfam family "Bacterial large subunit ribosomal RNA", at positions 1556 to 2925 of the family's 2925-position model. The record is from RNAcentral. Lineage: Bacteria; Pseudomonadati; Pseudomonadota; Gammaproteobacteria; Enterobacterales; Enterobacteriaceae.